GGGCGAGAGACAGAAGGCGAGGGUGGAGGGUGGAAGAAGAGAAGGUGGGGAGGGGAGUGGGCAUGGGCGAAGGGUAUAGGGGACGCGGGGGCUAAAGAAAGGCGAAAGCGGGGAGAGGUGGUGAUGGAGAUGAGAGGAGAGAAGCGCAAGGUAACGGGAGGUGAAGGGGAGCACGAGAAUGGAGAUGACGUGGGUAAGAGAGGAGAUGAGGAAAGGAAGGGGAACGAGAGGAUUGGCAAAAAAGAACGGUGACAAGGAGAGAUGAUAAAGGGGCAGGAGGAGAAGGCGAGUAGGAAAGAAAAGAGGUGAGGGAGCGAGGACUGGAAGCUGGUGAAUGAAUGAGAAGUGAUCGGGAGUAAGGGGCGUCAGGAGGAAGGAGGAAGGGCGAUGAGAAGGCGGCGGCGGAGGGGAAGGGGGGAGGCCCGGCGCGGCGGCUCACGCCUCUAAUCCCAGCGCUUCCGGAGGCCAAGGCGGGAGCAUCGCUUGAGCCCAGGAGUUCGAGACCAGCCUGGGCAACAUAGGGAGACCCUUUCUCUACAAAAUAAAAAGUAAAACAGCCGGGCCUGGUGGCGCUGCUUGUGGUCCCAGCUACUGGGGAGGCUGAGGUGGGAGGAUCGCUUGAGCCUCGGAGGUUGAGGCCGCAGUGAGCUGUGAUGGCACCACUGCACUCCAGCCUGGGCCACAGAAGGAGACCCUGUCUCAAAAAACAAACAAACAAAAAGGAGGUGAGUUAGUUAUGGAGGAGAUGAGGUGGUGUGGGAAGAGGUGAGAGGGAGGCACAGAGGUAAAAGAAAAAGGAGAAAGACAGGAGGGAGAGGGGAAGUGAAAAGGAAAGAGAGGUAGAAAUGAGAGGAGGGGAAAGAGUAGGAGAAAGGGUGAAGGGAGAGGAGGUGAAAGGAAGACAGAGAGGGAGAGAGAGAAGGUGUGUUUAUGUCUAUUCUCCACAAGCAGGGUUUCACCACAGCCACUGGCAAGAUACACACAUCCAUAUGACCCUCCUGUCACAGCAGCAGUGACCUUGCAGUUCAGUGAACUUCUGUUUAUUGAGUGUCGCAGCUGUGCAUAGUAUACCAGGAAGCACUGACCUCUCUCUGUAGUUUAUCCUGUUAUAAACCUGUGAACCCUCACAGUGCAGUGAACUGGACCUGGGCUUUGGGAGUCAGGGGAAGAAACCCAGAUGGCCAGUGUCACACAGCCUGCAAAUGAGUGCUGGGGGACAGAUACUCUGGCCCCAAGGCAGCUUCCACUCCAUUCCACAAUGAUGCUAUCACAGCAACCAUUAGUGGUGUCCCCUGGGCCCCUUCCCCCAAGGGCAGCCAUGGGCUUAUGCAAAGACAGUUGUCUUCCUUGGAAACCUCAGAGGCACAGACAUCCCAGGCAGGCAUGCUCCAGUGCUCGGGUCUUAGCUCAGACGUCUCUGGGAAGCCUUCCCUGACCUGUCUCAAGUAGCCCCCUCUCUCCCUAGCUGAUGUUUUCCACAGCACUUUCUGAGCUUUUGUACGUGUUGACUAUUUGUUGUCUCACUAAAGCACGGUUGCAGAGGGGCAGGCCAUAUCCCCAGGGCCCGGUCUACAGUCACGUUGAAUAUUUCAUGGCCUUAAAUUCUGCAAGUUCCACUGCUUGUAAUGCGAUUUCGCAGUCACUCCCAGCAAGAGGUAGAGUUUGUUUCUCCACCAGCCUGAACCUAGACUAGCCUUGUGGCUGGUCUUGACCAAUAGAAUGUGACAGAAAAGAGGCUGCACAAGUCCCAGAGCAUCAACAGCCCUGGCUCACUUCUUCCUUUACUGCCUGGGAAUGCUGAAUGACACUCAGAAGCAGCCCUGGGCAGGUCAGUGGCUCAUGCCUGUAAUUCCAACACUGGGAGGCUGAAGUAGGAGGAUCACUUGAGCCCAGGAGUUCGAGACCAGCCUGGGCAACAUAUCAAGACCCUGAUGCUACAAAAAAUUUAAAAAAUUAUCCAGGAAUAGUGAUGCCUGCCUGUAGUCCCAGCUACUUGGAGGGCUGAGGUGGGAAGAUUGCUUGAGCCCAGGAGGUGGAGGCUGUAGUGAGCCGUGACUGCCCCUCUGCCCUCCAGCCUGGGAGACAGAGCAAGACUCUGUCUCAAACAACAACAACAAUAAUAACAACAAAAUGGUAGCAGCCCCAGAAGAAAGAGCACGUGGAUAGGGAGCCCAGUCAUUGCAGCUCUCCCAGCCGACCCACCAGCUGAAUACAGCAGCAC
This 2221-nucleotide long non-coding RNA is filed under the name Homo sapiens (human). Its description in RNAcentral is "non-protein coding lnc-PREX1-10:2". The record is from RNAcentral. Lineage: Eukaryota; Metazoa; Chordata; Mammalia; Primates; Hominidae.